UUCUGUGGAAAUUUAAGAAGACCCGUUGGUGCAAAUCAACUCCACCCUCCCCUCCCCUGGCAUUGUUUCCUUGUACCCAGACUCCUAAAGUGCCCGGUGAUCGAAGUUUACCUCUUUGAUUUAUGAAUCAAAAGUUUUGUAAAUACGCUCUUUUCUACUGCAUUAUUAAUGAAGACCUUGAAAUGCUCUUUUGAAUUGCGACGAACAGAAUCCUCUGAAGGAUGAUUUGUGUUAUUCUAGUGGCGGGACACGGUACUCUUCUUGAAAAACAAAUCAAAGAUGAUUUAUCAGGGAAAUACAUUGGUUUGCAAGGAGUUCCCAAAGCACUCCUUCCUGGUGUUGGAGGCAAGUCUAUUCUGGACUUUUGGUGGGAGGCAAUCAAAAUGAGGCAGUUAUUCACUGAUGUGUUCCUUGUAACCAAUGCUGACAAGUAUAAAUACUAUGAGAGAUGGGCCACAGCACACGAUUUUCCAGUAGAAAAUAUUGUAAAUGAUGGAACUACCACCUUUGAAACAAGACUACUUGAAAAUAAAAAGCACAGAAUAAAGAAUUCUAGGAUCAUUCAAUCAGCUCAAGGACUUGGUGCAGUAGCUGACUUUGAGCUGGUUGUGAGAACCAAGAAUAUUCAAGAUGAUGUUGUGGUGGUGGCAGGAGACAUGCUUUUCCAAGAUGGUAACUUUGACAUGGCACAAGUGAUCAAAUACUUCAAACUCAAAAAGGGUGAGUUGGCCAUUUACUAUGAAAUGCAUGGGAUGGAGCAGACAGAAACGAGGGGUAUUGUGGAGGUCUGCCCUUUGACAAACAGGAUUGAAAGAUUCCUGGAGAAGCCCAAACCUGAUCAAACAACAUCAAGGCUAGCAAGUGUAGUGUUCUAUUGCUUUCAAAAAGAAACCCUCAGUACUCUGGAGAUUUAUUUGAAGAAAAGAGCUGACAUUGAUCAACGAGGAUUUGGAAAUUACCUGGAAUGGCUUGUCAACCAGACACCAGUGUAUGGUAUGAAACUUCCAACUGGCUUUCAGCUUAUUGGUCAAGUGGGUUUAUCUGAAUAUGAGAAGUGGGUUGCAUAUUUCUCUAGCAUCUCUCAAAAAGGAUGUCCAUUGGAACCUUAUGUUGCCAGAGCCUAUGCAAGGAUUGGUUUAAUGGGGAACCCAUCAGAUGGUUUCAAUGGCAAGACCAUAUCAAUGUCAAUAGCCAACUUUUGGGCUGAAGUUACUAUCCAGGAAAGUCAGCAGUUGGUGUUGGUGCCACACCCUCUGAAUGAUCCAACAGAAUUUGGAAGCUUGGGGGAUCUUCAUGGAAUAAGCCGAAAAGAGGGUUAUCUUGGAGGACUACGUUUACUUCAAGCCACCUGCAAAAAGUUCUACCAGUAUUGCUACGAGAAAGGCAUUGGCAAAAAAGAACUUUUCCCUGAAGUAUGACACCAACAUACCCAGACAAGUGGUAAUUAUUGCAUGUGUCAAACAUUGAUAUUAAGGGACUUGCAGGCAGCAGUGCAAUAGUGACAGCCACUUUGAGAUGUUUGAUGCAUUUUUACAAUCUUACUGACAAG
This 1549-nucleotide unclassified non-coding RNA is filed under the name Actinia tenebrosa (Australian red waratah sea anemone). RNAcentral's name for it is "uncharacterized LOC116286363, transcript variant X1". Lineage: Eukaryota; Metazoa; Cnidaria; Anthozoa; Actiniaria; Actiniidae. The record is from RNAcentral.